GGAAAAAUACCUAGAAGCAAUUAAAAUAUUUUCAGGUCCUUUAAAAGGCAUAGACCUGGCUGUGCGACCACACACCGCCCCGGAAUACAAGGAUGAGACCAUGACUGUUCACCAGGUCCCCAUACACAGUGAGCAGAGAUGUGCAGAAGACCCUAUAUCACAGAGUCCAGAAAGACGUCUCAGCAGGGACAGCCCCAAUCGAUCUCCAGACUCUGCAGCAACCAAACACGAACAGCACCUUCCAGAUGGC
Dipodomys ordii (Ord's kangaroo rat) is the source of this 250-nucleotide long non-coding RNA. RefSeq lists it as uncharacterized. Lineage: Eukaryota; Metazoa; Chordata; Mammalia; Rodentia; Heteromyidae. The record is from RefSeq and is a predicted model, not a curated record. The transcript has 3 exons.